This 27-nucleotide non-coding RNA is filed under the name Homo sapiens (human). Lineage: Eukaryota; Metazoa; Chordata; Mammalia; Primates; Hominidae. The record is from RNAcentral.
UGAGUGUGUUUGCAUGGAAUGAUAAAU